This is an unclassified non-coding RNA of Dipodomys ordii (Ord's kangaroo rat), 308 nucleotides long. Its record names the gene 7SK. It matches the Rfam family "7SK RNA". From Rfam's summary of the family: 7SK was discovered as an abundant small nuclear RNA in the mid-70s but a possible function has only recently been suggested. Two independent studies have found that 7SK RNA binds the CDK9/cyclin T complex (known as elongation factor P-TEFb). P-TEFb activates transcription by phosphorylating the C-terminal domain of RNA polymerase II. NCBI's taxonomy places the organism in Eukaryota, Metazoa, Chordata, Mammalia, Rodentia, Heteromyidae. The record is from Ensembl.
GGAUGUGAGGGUGAUCUGGCUGAGACAUCUGUCACCCCAUUGAUCACCAGGGUUGAUUCGGCUGAUCUGGCUGGCUAGGCAGGUGUCCCUUUCCUCCCUCACUGCUCCAUGUGUGUCCCUCCCGAAGCUGCGCGCUCUGUCGAAGAGGAAGACCAUCCCCGAUAGAGGAGGACCGGUCUUCCAUCAAGGAUAUACGAGUAGCUGCGCUCCCCUGCUAGAACCUCCAAACAAGCUCUCAAGAAGUAAAUGAGUGACCAUGAGAUUUUGGUAGCUUUUAAAAACCAUAUGAAAGUUGAAAAACUUCACAU